RNAcentral lists this long non-coding RNA (1265 nucleotides) under Dromaius novaehollandiae (emu). RNAcentral describes it as "lncRNA (ENSDNVG00000005809.1)". Lineage: Eukaryota; Metazoa; Chordata; Aves; Casuariiformes; Dromaiidae. The record is from RNAcentral.
AAUGUGACUGGGGAAGCAAUACAAUUUGGCUGGACCCUAGAGGGUGGCAGGAGAGGCAGCCUCUACAUUGCUUCCCUCAUGGAUGGAAACCGGGAGAUCAAUAAAACCACUACAAAUGAGACAAAAACUAUGUUUAACCAUCUGCUUCCCGGUCAUGUAUACACAAUAUCUGUGGCAGUAUUAUCUUGUGCUGAGAACAGCAGGACUUCAGUGAGUGUCCGAACAGAUCCUGCUUCCUGUUUCAGUGGAACUGAGUUUUGCACACCACAAAAUCGUGGCUGUACUGACUUAAAACAUACUGUAUGCUCAAAUUACCAAGCAUUUGCCUGCAGUGUUUUUUUAAAAACCCAGAUGUUUAAUCAUAUGCUUUAUAACUCUGAUAGUGAAGACUACAAGACAAUGUCUGAAAGUAUCAAAACAGAGGUUGUUAGACAGAUGCAGAUGAAACUAGAAGAUGACCACUUUGACAUUGUGAUGCUUGGAUUCAGACCCGGGAGCGUGAUUGCCUAUUUUGUUUUUCUACUGCAAAAACAAGAGUUCCUUGAUGUGAACAUUCUGCAAGCAUACUUAAGUGACAUAUUAAAAAGCAAGUUUGGCAACCAAACUGAAGUAACUGUACAAUCACUGUCUGCUCAAUCAUCACCUGGAGAAAGUCGUGCCUGGAAAGUAGCAGUGAUUGUCCUUGGAGUUUUACUUGGAGUUGCAUUAGUGCUACUUUUUCUGAUAACAUUGGCCUACAUUUACAUGAAGAAAAGCUCGGGUAAAUACUUGGUUGAAUCUAAUGGACUCCUGGGAAAUUUUGUUUACAAGCACUUAUAUUAGUUUUUCUUCACACCCUAAAUAUAUAAGACAGACUGAUGGCUUAUAUUAUAAUUCUGUUUUAAAAUUCUAUGUUAAUUGUUUUUGUUAACCUAAGACAACUCUACACUCUCCUUCCCAAUGUCCAUCACUGAAUUCUUGAAUACCUACAACCUCUAAUGAAUGAUCCUUAGGACAUUACCUUCAGAUAUGUGACGGGGAUUUUCCCCAUUGUGGAAGUGGGAAACUAAGACACAGAAACUUCUAUUCAGAUUAUCCACUAUAGGUGUUGCAAUGAAUCCUAUUCAUUGACUAUAAAGAGAGGCAGGCUUUGAAUCACUCAUUGCUCUCUUAAAUGCAGAUGACAGAGCAAUCAGGGUGACUGAGCUUAGCAUCUAUAGCAGGUGAUCUGACUAUACAUCUGAGCCCACAUUCAUUGUGUUGAGCUUUAUUUACUUAGCCAAAGG